Paramormyrops kingsleyae is the source of this 381-nucleotide non-coding RNA. The record is from RefSeq and is a predicted model, not a curated record. Lineage: Eukaryota; Metazoa; Chordata; Actinopteri; Osteoglossiformes; Mormyridae.
AGGAACUGUACAACAAACCUGUCCAAACAGGCUUUUGUUAAUCAUUGUCAGUCUGUAAGCUUGUUUUCAGUCUGUCCUUCUUCUUUCUGCUCAUUUCACUAUUUAUCGAUUUUGCCUCCAGUGUUUGUUUAUUAGUAGUGGUGUUUGGUCCUGGCUACAGAGUAUUAGUUAAGUUUUGAUUCCUGCUUACAGACGUUUCCUCUUGGAUUAUCUUGGAUUCCUCACAGCCACGUCGAUCUCUCACUUCCAGGCUUCUCUCAGUACUUUAUAUCAGGACAGGGCUCAUGCUGAUGUCCAUAAACACCAUCACAGAUUCAAGAAAGAAAUGGCUUCUUCCAGACAUGGGUUCUUCAAAUCUGGACCUCAAUUCCAAAUCCAGGC